This 1693-nucleotide ribosomal RNA is filed under the name Escherichia coli. RNAcentral's name for it is "partial 23S ribosomal RNA". It matches the Rfam family "Bacterial large subunit ribosomal RNA", at positions 1252 to 2925 of the family's 2925-position model. The record is from RNAcentral. Lineage: Bacteria; Pseudomonadati; Pseudomonadota; Gammaproteobacteria; Enterobacterales; Enterobacteriaceae.
GAAGGUGUGCUGUGAGGCAUGCUGGAGGUAUCAGAAGUGCGAAUGCUGACAUAAGUAACGAUAAAGCGGGUGAAAAGCCCGCUCGCCGGAAGACCAAGGGUUCCUGUCCAACGUUAAUCGGGGCAGGGUGAGUCGACCCCUAAGGCGAGGCCGAAAGGCGUAGUCGAUGGGAAACAGGUUAAUAUUCCUGUACUUGGUGUUACUGCGAAGGGGGGACGGAGAAGGCUAUGUUGGCCGGGCGACGGUUGUCCCGGUUUAAGCGUGUAGGCUGGUUUUCCAGGCAAAUCCGGAAAAUCAAGGCUGAGGCGUGAUGACGAGGCACUACGGUGCUGAAGCAACAAAUGCCCUGCUUCCAGGAAAAGCCUCUAAGCAUCAGGUAACAUCAAAUCGUACCCCAAACCGACACAGGUGGUCAGGUAGAGAAUACCAAGGCGCUUGAGAGAACUCGGGUGAAGGAACUAGGCAAAAUGGUGCCGUAACUUCGGGAGAAGGCACGCUGAUAUGUAGGUGAAGUCCCUCGCGGAUGGAGCUGAAAUCAGUCGAAGAUACCAGCUGGCUGCAACUGUUUAUUAAAAACACAGCACUGUGCAAACACGAAAGUGGACGUAUACGGUGUGACGCCUGCCCGGUGCCGGAAGGUUAAUUGAUGGGGUUAGCGCAAGCGAAGCUCUUGAUCGAAGCCCCGGUAAACGGCGGCCGUAACUAUAACGGUCCUAAGGUAGCGAAAUUCCUUGUCGGGUAAGUUCCGACCUGCACGAAUGGCGUAAUGAUGGCCAGGCUGUCUCCACCCGAGACUCAGUGAAAUUGAACUCGCUGUGAAGAUGCAGUGUACCCGCGGCAAGACGGAAAGACCCCGUGAACCUUUACUAUAGCUUGACACUGAACAUUGAGCCUUGAUGUGUAGGAUAGGUGGGAGGCUUAGAAGUGUGGACGCCAGUCUGCAUGGAGCCGACCUUGAAAUACCACCCUUUAAUGUUUGAUGUUCUAACGUUGACCCGUAAUCCGGGUUGCGGACAGUGUCUGGUGGGUAGUUUGACUGGGGCGGUCUCCUCCUAAAGAGUAACGGAGGAGCACGAAGGUUGGCUAAUCCUGGUCGGACAUCAGGAGGUUAGUGCAAUGGCAUAAGCCAGCUUGACUGCGAGCGUGACGGCGCGAGCAGGUGCGAAAGCAGGUCAUAGUGAUCCGGUGGUUCUGAAUGGAAGGGCCAUCGCUCAACGGAUAAAAGGUACUCCGGGGAUAACAGGCUGAUACCGCCCAAGAGUUCAUAUCGACGGCGGUGUUUGGCACCUCGAUGUCGGCUCAUCACAUCCUGGGGCUGAAGUAGGUCCCAAGGGUAUGGCUGUUCGCCAUUUAAAGUGGUACGCGAGCUGGGUUUAGAACGUCGUGAGACAGUUCGGUCCCUAUCUGCCGUGGGCGCUGGAGAACUGAGGGGGGCUGCUCCUAGUACGAGAGGACCGGAGUGGACGCAUCACUGGUGUUCGGGUUGUCAUGCCAAUGGCACUGCCCGGUAGCUAAAUGCGGAAGAGAUAAGUGCUGAAAGCAUCUAAGCACGAAACUUGCCCCGAGAUGAGUUCUCCCUGACUCCUUGAGAGUCCUGAAGGAACGUUGAAGACGACGACGUUGAUAGGCCGGGUGUGUAAGCGCAGCGAUGCGUUGAGCUAACCGGUACUAAUGAACCGUGAGGCUUAACCUU